RNAcentral lists this transfer RNA (69 nucleotides) under Rattus norvegicus (Norway rat). It matches the Rfam family "tRNA". Rfam says of the family: Transfer RNA (tRNA) molecules are approximately 80 nucleotides in length. Their secondary structure includes four short double-helical elements and three loops (D, anti-codon, and T loops). The record is from Rfam by way of RNAcentral. Lineage: Eukaryota; Metazoa; Chordata; Mammalia; Rodentia; Muridae.
GGGGAUUUAGCUCAGCAGUAGAGCGCUUGCCUAGCGAGCACAAGGCCCUGGGUUCGGUUCCCAGCUCCG